AUGCAAGUGCAGGCGGCUGCUACCAUACGGCUUUGUCUUGCGAAUCAGGUCAUGUAUCAUGUCAUGGAUGAAGAUUCUCCUAGGAAAAUUUGGGACAAGUUGGAAAGUCGUUAUAUGUCCAAGUCAGCGACCAAUAAGCUGUAUUUGAACAAAAAGUUCUAUGGGCUGAAGAUGCAGGAGGGGUCGGAUCUUGUGGAGCAUGUGAAUGCCUUAAAUCAGUUGGUCAUGGAUCUAGUGUGUCUUGAUGUGAAGAUUGAGGAAGAGGAUAAGGCACUACUUCUUCUUGUUUCGUUUCCACCGUCCUAUGAGCAUUUGGUCAUUACAUUGACACAUGGAAAGAUAACCGUCAAUAAUGAGUAA
RNAcentral lists this ribosomal RNA (360 nucleotides) under Triticum aestivum (bread wheat). Its description in RNAcentral is "partial small subunit ribosomal RNA". The record is from RNAcentral. Lineage: Eukaryota; Viridiplantae; Streptophyta; Magnoliopsida; Poales; Poaceae.